ACACCAGCGCCACGAGUGGGAACCACGAUUAUUGGGCCUAAAGCGUUCGUAGCCGGUUAAGUAAAUCUUUUGUGAAAUUGUUGCGCUUAACGUAACAACGUGCAGGAGACACUGCUUGACUUGGGACCGGGAGAAGCUAGAAGUAUUUUUGGGGUAGCGGUAAAAUGCUAUAAUCCUGAAAGGACUACCGAUGGCGAAGGCAUCUAGCUAGAACGGAUCCGACGGUGAGGAACGAAAGCUGGGGGAGCAAACCGGAUUAGAAACCCGAGUAGUCC
This 275-nucleotide ribosomal RNA is filed under the name uncultured bacterium. RNAcentral describes it as "partial 16S ribosomal RNA". It matches the Rfam family "Archaeal small subunit ribosomal RNA", at positions 473 to 747 of the family's 1478-position model. The record is from RNAcentral.